GCCGGUCACCUGCAGCUAAAACUGACGCAGCAACGCCGUGUGAGGGAUGAAGGCUUUCGGGUCGUAAACCUCUGUCGGAAGGGAAGAACGGGCAUUGGUCUAAUAGGCCUUUGUUUUGACGGUACCUUUAGAGGAAGCACCGGCUAACUCCGUGCCAGCAGCCGCGGUAAUACGGAGGGUGCAAGCGUUAUUCGGAAUUACUGGGCGUAAAGCGCACGUAGGCGGCCUUGUAAGUCAGGGGUGAAAUCCCACGGCUCAACCGUGGAACUGCCUUUGAAACUGCAGGGCUUGAAUCCUGGAGAGGGUGGCGGAAUUCCUGGUGUAGGAGUGAAAUCCGUAGAUAUCAGGAGGAACACCGGUGGCGAAGGCGGCCACCUGGACAGGUAUUGACGCUGAGGUGCGAAAGUGUGGGGAGCAAACAGGAUUAGAUACCCUGGUAGUCCACACCCGUAAACGAU
RNAcentral lists this ribosomal RNA (458 nucleotides) under uncultured prokaryote. Its description in RNAcentral is "bacterial SSU rRNA". It matches the Rfam family "Bacterial small subunit ribosomal RNA", at positions 354 to 810 of the family's 1533-position model. The record is from RNAcentral.